CAUGCUGUAAACGUUGGGCACUAGGUGUGGGGAUCGUUGUGGUUUCUGCGCCGUAGCUAACGCAUUAAGUGUCCCGCCUGGGGAGUACGGCCGCAAGGCUAAAACUCAAAGGAAUUGACGGGGGCCCGCACAAGCAGUGGAGUAUGUGGUUUAAUUCGAAGCAACGCGAAGAACCUUACCAGGGCUUGACAUCCUCGGACGACACUAGAGAUAGUGUUUUCUCUUCGGAGACUGAGAGACAGGUGG
This 246-nucleotide ribosomal RNA is filed under the name uncultured bacterium. Its description in RNAcentral is "partial 16S ribosomal RNA". It matches the Rfam family "Bacterial small subunit ribosomal RNA", at positions 796 to 1041 of the family's 1533-position model. The record is from RNAcentral.